AUAUCAAAGAGUCGAGAAGACUGAGGUCCUUUGGUUCCAACAGACCAAACAUACGAUGUCUCCUCUGGAGUUAGUGGGAGUUGUGGGUAUCCAGCAUGCAUCCAUACCAGAGCCUCAGUAGCUGGCCUGAGAUCACACCACAAAUCAGUGACAGAUCUGCUCAGAGCUCAGGACUUCAGACUCUCCAGCCACCUGCUCUUCUUCUAAGAUAAUCCUACCUUACCAGUAUGAUGCUAAAGUGUUUGAAGAAGGAGAAUGGAAGGAAGGCAUCUGGAGCAGUAAACCAGCUCUAUGGACACUUCAAGUGAUUGAUUUGAAUUACAGAAAAGGCAUGGCAGAGGGGUAGAAAGAGUCAAGUACUGCACCUUGUCUGAUUUAUGGCUGUGGAGCCAGUGCCCUCUGCAGCAGAAAGUGGAGAGAUGAAGAUCUACAGCCACCUGCAUUAUCACCCAAGGAGUGGAGAGCGAGGGUUCGCAUUUUAUUCUGGCUGGCAGCCACACAAAAAAGGCCUUCUUCCUCUCCUCCUCCCUCAUCUCCUCCCUUGCUUUGUAUUUUGAUGCUGGUUCUGACUUCUGUGAGGCCUGGAGGAUGCAAAUGAUGAAGUCUGGUGGUGCAAACCAGAAAGCCCAGCUCCCCCAAGCUAGCAGUUUCUGCAUGAUACAGAUGCCACAUUUCAAAAAAAAGAUCACAGUGCAUGACAUUAAGAGAAAUGAUCAUCUAUAUAAAGACAAAACCCAGCAUAUUGUGAAUGUUGUUAGUGCAUCAAAAUCUGCCUUGUACCUGAGGAAUUAUUGUGUGACCUCCCUCAGCUUCUGUGACAGCAGAGCGGAUCAAUUUUACCUUAGGAUUGCAACUGCCCCGCUCAGCACAUCGUGACCAGCCAGAGCUGCAGCAGAGAACUCAUCCACUCAGAUAAAAACCUAAUUGUAUAGUGACCAUCAGAAAAAGAAAAAAACAAACAAACAAACAAAAAACUUUGCAAACUCUUUGCAAACCCAUGCAGAAGAUGGAAAUAAGCCUGCAUGUCAAAAUGGUACGGACAACAUUGUGUGCAUCUGCUUGGGUGUGUGGGUGUGCAUGUGUAAAGGGUUGUAUUUUCUUGUUAAGUUCAGUGGUGGCAGUGUCUGGCACAAUUUGCUUUUUAAAAUCCGUGCAGUUAAGUCUCCCAUGAGACCAAAACCAGUCAUGGUGUUUUUAGGGGGAGAUGGUAAAGUCAGGGGGAAAUGCAUUUGCUGGGUUUUAAUGGAGUAGUUUUUCAAUCACUUAUAUCUCAGCAGGCCAUAAAAGUGAAAAACAAUAGUAUUAAGCCACUGCGUGGAUCUGCUGUAUUACAUUGACCCAAAUUCUGUCUUUAUAAAGCUGAAACAAAUGGGAUCUCCAAUCAGAAAUAAAUCCUCCGUGUCUGUAAUAUUUCUCUUUCUC
This 1422-nucleotide long non-coding RNA is filed under the name Anas platyrhynchos platyrhynchos (common mallard). Its description in RNAcentral is "lncRNA (ENSAPLG00000023982.1)". The record is from RNAcentral. Lineage: Eukaryota; Metazoa; Chordata; Aves; Anseriformes; Anatidae.